Molecule: microRNA, 22 nt
Filed under: Bos taurus (domestic cattle)
Lineage: Eukaryota; Metazoa; Chordata; Mammalia; Artiodactyla; Bovidae
Description: Bta-Mir-11968-P1_3p* (star (passenger))
Source: RNAcentral
AGAACUAACUCAUUGGAAGAGA